AUCCUUUUGUAAGUCAUAAGUGUGAUUGGGUUUUCAUGCCCUUGUGUCAAACGUGUCUCCCUCAAACCUUGUUACAAAGUGGGCACACUACCCACCUGAUG
Molecule: small nucleolar RNA, 101 nt
Organism: Chlorocebus sabaeus (green monkey)
Lineage: Eukaryota; Metazoa; Chordata; Mammalia; Primates; Cercopithecidae
Rfam family: Small nucleolar RNA U13
Source: Rfam